UUGUGUCUUCUUCUCUUAUAGUCUUAUCUUGAGUGAAUUCUUGGGCUCUCAAGUGGCGGCAACAACACUCAUCUUGAAGCCAACCAUCCUUCAAAUGGCGUGCACAAUUCCAAGAGCUCCAACCACAUACGUUUCCUAUUCCUUUUCAUCUUCUUCUUCCAUUUCCAUUCUAAAACAAACUCUAAAACAUGUCUUUGUUGUUUCUUGUUGAUUCAAUCGGUAGAACUUGUUUAGUUUGUGUUUAUGUUCGGUAGUUUGUAAUAGUUUGAUGUUCUUAUGGUUUUAAUUGUGUUUCUUGGAGUUUUA
This 306-nucleotide long non-coding RNA is filed under the name Phaseolus vulgaris (common bean). RNAcentral's name for it is "long non-coding RNA (PVUL_LNC004998)". Lineage: Eukaryota; Viridiplantae; Streptophyta; Magnoliopsida; Fabales; Fabaceae. The record is from RNAcentral.